CCUACUUCUACUACUUACUUCUACUGCCUACUUCUACUGCCUACUUCUACUGCCGACGUCUACUGCUGACUUCUACUGCCUACUUCUACUACUUACUUCUACUGCCUACUUCUACUGCCUACUUCUACUGCCUAUUUCUACUGCCGACGUCUACUGCUGACUUCUACUGCCAACUUCUACUGCCUACUUCUACUGCCUAUCUCUACUGCCUACCUCUACUGCCGACCUCUACUGCCGACUUCUACUGCUACCUUACUCUGAACACCUGUUCUCUUCAAGCGACAACUAAGGUGCCCCUGCUAGACACCAUAAUAACAGUCUAAAUCUAUCUAGAGUUGGAAUGAGCAAAUCACACACAUUUCUAAUUAGCACUGACUCCAUCUUCUUAAAUCUUCAAUGAAGGCCACUAUCCCGUUGAUUGUUAGAAAGGCUUUUAUCCAACAACCAGGACUGGACAUGGGGCUCUCCACCCCUGUCCUGUCUGAGGGCUCCCAUCAGUGACGGCCAUAAUGACUGGGCUAGAAAUCGGACCGUACCACGAACACGGCGCACCGCCCCCCGAUCCUGUGUCCAUUCGCUGUAAGUGGCCGAGUGCAGCGAUUACCAUGGGGAGAUUGCCUCAAGGGGCUGGUUCGCUGCUGAAGCGACGAGGUAGCUGGAAUCCUCCGAUCUUCUUGUAUCAAUCUACCACACCAUUCUGUCCCCCUUUCCACACACACACGCUUUUUCUCGGCCUUUUUUUUUUCUCAAUCACUUUUAAAAAAAAACAACAUAUUAUUGUGUUGUAAAGUAAAGUUCUCCUUUCAGACCUUGCGAUCUAUAGGGCAGAUGAUACUAAGUCAUCUGUUUCUUAAUUUGGCCAACGGUUAACGAGCAGGGUGUCAUGUGGUCAGCACAACGACCUACAGCCUUUACUUUUUCUCAACUAAUGUCCGGUACCCUUUAGAGCUGGGUGGAAGCAGACGCCCUAAAGAUUCCAAAAUGAAAAAUCCCACUUAUGGGGAUGCCACACGCAGCAUAUAUUUCUAUGUGAUGUUCGUGGAAAAUGGGGGGGGGCGCCGAUAAUUUACCUUACCUGCUACGUUAUUAUUACAUCUUGACUCAUCAUUCACCGAUAAUUCAUUGGAUGACCUUAACUCUCACAAUUACAUAACCGGCGACGCUUUCGCAACCUUGUCUUAGUUGCCCUUCAACCGUGACAAUGAUAUCGUUACUUUCAAUCGCUGUAUCACAUGGAAUAAAGUGGGAAUCCCGUCAAGUAUUAAAGAUAGAUCUAGGUCACAAUGAUACAUGUCUACCUAACAAUAAAAGUACAAAUUAAAUGACAUCCAGGCUGACACAACCGCUGUCUAUAUUAAGCAAUAGUGAUAUCUGAUGCACAUACGUGACAGGUCAGGUCGCUGAUAAGGCUUACACACUCAUGGGAGGGGGAGAGAUGGGGGGGACUGUCAUAUGGCAUGUUUUUUUGUGUUUUUUUUUUGUAUAGCAAUGACCUAUAUACGUGGUGCACAUGUAUUACAGAUAAACAAUUCAGCGUUAUUUAUAAUUAGAUUUUCGUUAAGUGGUAAAGUGAGCGGCUUCCUAAUCUUGUUAAGCAUGAGAUUUCCAAUGCUGGAUGUAAUAGUUUUUCCUUAGUUGUGGACUGCAUUUGGUCGUAGUUCUGGCCAACUUCUGGCCCCAUGACACCCUUGUUAGACACAGAAACAGCUGGUCUUUACAACAGUGGCCCUAUUCACUGCCUAACUCGACUGACUUUCUGUUUUAUUAUUUUUUAAAAGUUAGAAUCAAUUUCGAAUCGUUUUAUUUAAUACUUAUCACGCUACGCUAUGCUGUAGUACUAUAGCCAAUAAGGAUAAUCUUCUUUUACUUAAAACUUUUUAUAAUGAAACAGUUUCAAUAAUUUAUAUAGAUAUUAUUUUUAAUAUUUGCAUUUUUAUAUGUAUAUACUGUUGGAACACCUGAUUUCUGCAGGUGUCGGCGGGCCGCAUAAAACACUUCGGCGGGACGCAUGUGGCCCGCUGGCCGUAAUUUGCCCACCCCUGCUAUAGUAUGUUAUAUCAACGAUAAUUAUUGGACUAUACGUGGACCCCCCCCCCCCUCUUUCUGCCCAGCAGCCCCCACCAACAAUCUUUUCGGGAGUCGUUGACCUGUAUCAGAGACUUAUGACACAAUGUUAUUUUAUACUUAUGACACAAUGUCAUUUUAUGGGCUGGAGAGUUUUAGUCGUGAAAGAAAAAUAGAAUUAAAAAAAAAGUUGAUAAGGUAUUUUCCCAAUUCCACUCUCGCCCCACCACCCCAUGUGAUCUGUAUAUGUUGCAUUGCCCUACACCCAGUCAAUACUUCAAGUCAAAGAUCCAGCACACAGUAGGGCCUAAUCGAUCAUUCGGUAUAAAUACUGCGUACAGGUUUUUCUUGUUUUGUAUGCGGACCAUUUAUUUUACCGACAACUCUUCCGACAUCAUCUCGAAACGCGUCCAUUCUGGCGUCGUUAGCAACGGUGUGUUGACACGUUCGACUUGUUGAGUGCUGCCAUUGUUGUCAUAUGAGUGUUGUGGCUGCUGCCUCGUCGUUAUUUAAACAGCGCGUGGCUGGAAGGGUGCCUCCCCCUCCCAUCCUCGAUACAAUGGCUAUGUCACUUGACCACUCGGGUGCUUGGCUACAUUGAAACUGUUUAUAUCGAUAUACUGAUUACUGUUGAAAUGAAACAAAAACUAUUGAUAAGUUCGCACGGCUUAAUAAAUAUACUAACAUGACUAAAUAUACUUACAGGACUAAAUAUACUUACAUGACUAAAUAAACUUACAGGACUAAAUAUACUUACAUGACUAAAUAUACUUACAGGACUAAAUAUACUCACAUUACCUCAUCUCAUCUAUCCCUUGACUUUCGUCGACGGGGUGCUGUGACAGUUCGCGUCAGCUCAGCAGCUCUAUUAGCAGGCUAUCAAGAGAGAGGGGCCGGUCCAUUUGUUCUAUUCUCCAGCCCUCAGCAGCUCUAUUAGCAGGCUAUCAAGAGAGAGGGGCCGGUCCAUUUGUUCUAUUCUCCAGCCCUCAGCAGCUCUAUUAGCAGACUAUCAAGAGAGAGGGGCCGGUCCAUUUGUUCUAUUCUCCAGCCCUCAGCAGCUCUAUUAGCAGGCUAUCAAGAGAGAGGGGCCGGUCCAUUUGUUCUAUUCUCCAGCCCUCAGCAGCUCUAUUAGCAGACUAUCAAGAGAGAGGGGCCGGUCCAUUUGUUCUAUUCUCCAGCCCUCAGCAGCUCUAUUAGCAGGCUAUCAAGAGAGAGGGGCCGGUCCAUUUGUUCUAUUCUCCAGCCCUCAGCAGCUCUAUUAGCAGGCUAUCAAGAGAGAGGGGCCGGUCCAUUUGUUCUAUUCUCCAGCCAGCUUUUCUUUGGACGACUUUCUUUGUGCUCCCUCCACUGUACGUUGAAGACUUUUGAUAGCCAUGUCUUACAGUAUAACCAAACCAGCUCAGCUUUCACAGUAUUGGGGUGUUCAUCCUUUUUGACAAUCACAGUGUUGAUUUGUACAAGUACACAUUCGUUUGUCUUCUUUUCCUUGUAUCUGAUACCCAGCAUUUUUCUGUUCAUCUACUCUCAAAGGCUUGGAUUCUUCUUUCAGCCUCAGCGUUCAUUGUCCAACUUUCUCAACGUAUGUUUGUUUUUUGUUUGUUGUAAAAUGUUUUACAUGUUUCGGAUGUUCCAUCAUAGUUGAAUAUAGUUUACUUCCUAGUCCAAACCUCCCGCAGGACGACGGGGGAUGGGAGCGGGCAGGAUUUUGAACCCUCGACCAUCGAUAAAUCCGAACGACAGUCCAGCGACCAAACCGCACGACCAGGCAGCCAGGACAUUACAUAGUAUGCUUAAAUGAAGUACUCUUACAUUACAAAGUACCAAAGUAUAGUGAACACAAAAGAGGCCGUCUAUGUUGGGGGCAAGGUAAAUUUUGUACGUACAUACACGGUACUGUCCAUUGCACUCCCCUGUUUCACUACAACAGAAUUGGGCAAUAAGACUGUGACAAGUCAAAAACUCGCUGUCAGAGUCACUCUAAUUUAUCACAGCAUUAAUUAUUAUUUUUCAUUAUUUAUUUAUUUUAUUUUAAUUAUUUCUCCAUCCUACCCCUAAAUUAUUCACCCGCCACACCUUUUCCUCUCUACCAGGCCAGACUUAGUCCACCACCUUGGAGAAAAUUAGGCCAGUCCUUUCAUUUAUCUUCCCUUGACCGGGGCAAAGAUACGCUCAGACCUUGAUCUUAUCGACAGGAUGUCUGACAGCCGCGGUUGACGCCACCUUGGUUGAAUGCAAGCUAAUCCUCCCCCCCCCCUUUUUCUCACGUCUCUCUUUGAUCCAAGAGAUUACCCUGGUCUACACACCGCGUGAUACUCCAAGGUGCGGCUCUUGUCGGACUUCACCCACGUGUAAGCUAAUUCUUAGCCUAGGACAUUUCCGGUGUCCGCCCACACUUUCAGGCAUAUAUAUAUAGUAAACCAACUCAAAUCACCCUCUCUUUCUCAUUCGAGCUGAACUAUCGAGUCUGGACUAUAUCACUUAUUCUUUCUCCUAGAGGAAUACCUGGUGCCUCCCUCAGGUGUCUGCCUAUUUAUCGGAUCACUUACCUGCCUAUUUGCCUAUCACCUAUUGCCUAUUUACCUGCCUAUUUGUUUGAUAUCAAGAAUCACCUACUAUCUAUGUGCUUAGUGCUAUUCAGCACCGCACUUGCCUACUGAGAUCUACUCAACUCUACCACUUGGCGCUAUCGGCAUUGCCCGCCUAUUCGACAGCCCACCUGUCAAGCUAUUAGGUGCGACGUCCCUAUAGGUUCAGAUCUGUGUGAGACGUCAUAGCUACGCCAACCCUCUGCAACUCACUGGACAUAUCCUGUCAACUACGCUGCCCACGGCAGAUCAGCUCUGCCCGCAGUAACAUUGUGCCCACGGUAUCCGGCCACCCGCCAUACUGUGCCCACUACAGAUACUAGAACUUGGGACUGAGACUCCACAAGAACUAUAUCGCCGGCGUCCCUCUAUCCGCUAGAGCGCCACCUCCAGCUGCAGAACCUCAAGCCAGGACACAGCCAGCUACGACAUCAACAGGACAACCAGCUAAGUCAGAGGACAAAGUGACAUACUCUCUUAUUAGGUGCUACAGUGAUGAUCAAAAUACCUUACUAAUUAGAGAUAGAUGCAAACCCUCCCCCUUUUAUUCUUAUAUGUAUAUUUAUGUAAAUAAAUAUUCUUUUAUUUUAA
Molecule: long non-coding RNA, 5240 nt
Organism: Biomphalaria glabrata
Lineage: Eukaryota; Metazoa; Mollusca; Gastropoda; Planorbidae
Exons: 2
Source: RefSeq, a predicted model, not a curated record